This 497-nucleotide ribosomal RNA is filed under the name uncultured bacterium. RNAcentral's name for it is "partial 16S ribosomal RNA". It matches the Rfam family "Bacterial small subunit ribosomal RNA", at positions 28 to 507 of the family's 1533-position model. The record is from RNAcentral.
GACGAACGCUGGCGGCGUGCCUAAUACAUGCAGGUAGAACGCUGAAGCGAGGAGCUUGCUCUUCUUGGAUGAGUUGCGAACGGGUGAGUAACGCGUAGGUAACCUGCCUUGUAGCGGGGGAUAACUAUUGGAAACGAUAGCUAAUACCGCAUAACAAUGGAUGACACAUGUCAUUUAUUUGAAAGGGGCAAUUGCUCCACUACAAGAUGGACCUGCGUUGUAUUAGCUAGUAGGUGAGGUAAUGGCUCACCUAGGCGACGAUACAUAGCCGACCUGGGAGGGUGAUCGGCCACACUGGGACUGAGACAAGGCCCAGACUCCUAAGGGAGGCAGCAGUAGGGAAUCUUCGGCAAUGGGGGCAAACCUGACCGAGCAACGCCGGGUGAGUGAAGAAGGUUUUCGGAUCGUAAAGCUCGGUUGUAAGUCAAGAACGGGUGUGAGAGUGGAAAGUUCACACUGUGACGGUAGCUUACCAGAAAGGGACGGCUAACUACGUG